This 69-nucleotide transfer RNA is filed under the name Ictidomys tridecemlineatus (thirteen-lined ground squirrel). Its description in RNAcentral is "Spermophilus tridecemlineatus (thirteen-lined ground squirrel) tRNA". It matches the Rfam family "tRNA". From Rfam's summary of the family: Transfer RNA (tRNA) molecules are approximately 80 nucleotides in length. Lineage: Eukaryota; Metazoa; Chordata; Mammalia; Rodentia; Sciuridae. The record is from Rfam by way of RNAcentral.
GGGGUUGUGGCUCAGCAGUAGAGCACUUGCCUAGCACGUGUGAGGCCCUGGGUUCAAUCCUCAACUCCA